RNAcentral lists this ribosomal RNA (254 nucleotides) under uncultured bacterium. Its description in RNAcentral is "partial 16S ribosomal RNA". It matches the Rfam family "Bacterial small subunit ribosomal RNA", at positions 524 to 776 of the family's 1533-position model. The record is from RNAcentral.
UACGGAGGGUGCAAGCGUUAUCCGGAUUUACUGGGUUUAAAGGGCGCGUAGGCGGUCAGCACAAGUCAGUUGUGAAAUCUCCGGGCUUAACUCGGAAAGGUCAACUGAUACUGUGCGACUAGAGUGCGGAAGGGGCAACUGGAAUUCUCGGUGUAGCGGUGAAAUGCGUAGAUAUCGAGAGGAACACCUGCGGCGAAGGCGGGUUGCUGGGCCGACACUGACGCUGAUGCGCGAAAGCCAGGGGAGCGAACGGG